GCCUUUCUGGUGUACUGGUCAGCACGCUGGGCUCGUAUUCCAGAGGCCCGUGGUUCGAGUCCUGGCAAAGGCG
RNAcentral lists this transfer RNA (73 nucleotides) under Stegodyphus mimosarum. It matches the Rfam family "tRNA". From Rfam's summary of the family: Transfer RNA (tRNA) molecules are approximately 80 nucleotides in length. Lineage: Eukaryota; Metazoa; Arthropoda; Arachnida; Araneae; Eresidae. The record is from Rfam by way of RNAcentral.